This 237-nucleotide ribosomal RNA is filed under the name Escherichia coli. RNAcentral describes it as "partial 16S ribosomal RNA". It matches the Rfam family "Bacterial small subunit ribosomal RNA", at positions 1 to 232 of the family's 1533-position model. The record is from RNAcentral. Lineage: Bacteria; Pseudomonadati; Pseudomonadota; Gammaproteobacteria; Enterobacterales; Enterobacteriaceae.
UUAAAUUGAAGAGUUUGAUCAUGGCUCAGAUUGAACGCUGGCGGCAGGCCUAACACAUGCAAGUCGAACGGUAACAGGAAGCAGCUUGCUGCUUCGCUGACGAGUGGCGGACGGGUGAGUAAUGUCUGGGAAACUGCCUGAUGGAGGGGGAUAACUACUGGAAACGGUAGCUAAUACCGCAUAAUGUCGCAAGACCAAAGAGGGGGACCUUCGGGCCUCUUGCCAUCGGAUGUGCCC